RNAcentral lists this ribosomal RNA (505 nucleotides) under uncultured bacterium. RNAcentral describes it as "partial 16S ribosomal RNA". It matches the Rfam family "Bacterial small subunit ribosomal RNA", at positions 899 to 1397 of the family's 1533-position model. The record is from RNAcentral.
ACUCAAAUGAAUUGACGGGGGCUCACACAAGCGGUGGAGCAUGUGGCUCAAUUCGAAGCAACGCGAAGAACCUUAUCCAGGGCUUGACAUGCACGGAUUAGUUCCCUGAAAGGGGAAUGACACCGCAAGGUGGAACGUGCACAGGUGCUGCAUGGCUGUCGUCAGCUCGUGCUGUGAAGUGUCGGGUUAAGUCCCUUAACGAGCGAAACCCCUGCCUCUAGUUGCCAUCGGGUCAUGCCGGGCACUCUAGCGGGACUGCCGGUGUCAAACCGGAGGAAGGUGGGGAUGACGUCAAGUCCUCAUGGCCUUUAUGCCCUGGGCUGCACACGUGCUACAAUGGCGCUUACAAAGCGAAGCGAGGCCGCAAGGCGGAGCAAAUCGCAUAAAAAGCGCCCCAGUUCAGAUCGCGGUCUGCAACUCGACCGCGUGAAGCCGGAAUCGCUAGUAAUCGCGGAUCAGCUACGCCGCGGUGAAUAAGUUCCUGAGCCUUGCACACACCGCCCGU